This 254-nucleotide ribosomal RNA is filed under the name uncultured bacterium. Its description in RNAcentral is "partial 16S ribosomal RNA". It matches the Rfam family "Bacterial small subunit ribosomal RNA", at positions 524 to 776 of the family's 1533-position model. The record is from RNAcentral.
CACGUAGGGCGCAAGCGUUGUCCGGAAUUAUUGGGCGUAAAGAGCUCGGUAGGCGGUCUGUUGCGUCCGCUGUGAAAACCCGGGGCUUAACCCCUGGCUUGCAGUGGAUACGGACAGACUAGAGGUAGGUAGGGGAGAACGGAAUUCCCGGUGUAGCGGUGAAAUGCGCAGAUAUCCGGAGGAACACCAGCGGCGAAGGCGGCUUUCUGGUCUGAUACUGACGCUGAGGCGCGAAAGCGUGGGGAGCGAUCCGG